Molecule: ribosomal RNA, 465 nt
Filed under: uncultured bacterium
Lineage: Bacteria
Description: partial 16S ribosomal RNA
Rfam family: Bacterial small subunit ribosomal RNA
Source: RNAcentral
GACGAACGCUGGCGGCGUGCUUAACACAUGCAAGUCGAACGGAAAGGCCCCUUUGUUGGUCCUCGAGUGGCGAACGGGUGAGUAACACUUGAGUAACCUUCCCUUGACUUCGGGAUAACUUCAGGAAACUGGGGCUAAUACCGGAUAGGAAUCCUUUCUGCAUGGUGGUGGUUGGAAAGCUUCGGCGGGUUUUGAUGGACUCGCUGCUUAUCAGCUUGUUGGUGGGGUAGUGGCUUACCAAGGCUUUGACGGGUAGCCGGACUGAGAGGGCGACCGGCCACACUGGGACUGAGAUACGGCAGAGACUGCUAAGGGAGGCAGCAGUGGAGAAUAUUGAACGAUGGGCGGAAGCCUGAUGAAGAAAGGCCGCGUGCGGGAUGACGGUGUUAGGGUUGAAAAACGCUUUCAGCAGGGGCGAAGCUUGUAGUGACGGUACCUGAAGAAGAAGCACCGGCUAACUACGUG